GCCGGCCCCACGCCCUCCCUGGGCGAGCAGGUAAGCCGGCCCCACACCCUCCCUGGGCGAGCAGGUAAGCCGGCCCCAUGCCCUCCCUGUGGGACUCUUUUUAGCUGGACCACCCUCAGAUGAACCAGAACGAAAAGUUCCAAUUAGGGCUGCAUUCCUCACCUGUGGGAUUCUCUUGGUCCUUACCCAGACUUCAAGGAGCACCCCAGCAGCCCGGUGGCAGGAAGCUGGCGUGCACGUGGGCUCGGAGGGUCCCUGCUGCGACGCUUGCUUCCUGCCUGCAGACUUGAUCUCUGUGAAGCCUGUGCUCGGCUGCUUUUGCAGGGGCUUGGCUUCCUGGGCCGCCAGAGACAAAAGAGGGACCACGUUGUCCGAGAGGGCACCUGGCGUUUCUCUUCCUGCUGGUUUGGGGUAGGCAGCCAGAGAGGUCAGAGCAUAUGGGAUGGGAGAGAACCGAACAGGAGUUAGGUUCAUUGCCAAAGAAUGCCUGGGCUGGGGUGAGGCCUCCGCCCGCUGGCAGGAGGGGCAGCUCUGCCCACAGGAGCUCUUUCUGGGCAGUAGCUAAGGACUACACGAAUGUUCGUAAUUGGACAAGAUGGGAAUGAAUGAGGUAAUCAUUUAAUGUUUGUUAAACAGGUUCUGUUUUAAAGACUUGCAAAUUAAAUGGAUUUGAGGGAGAAGCAGGAUCUGUAAAAAGCUACGGAGUUAAAAGUGGAAUGAAAAUGAGACAGGUAUAGAACCGAAAUGCGAGUGCAGAAGCCCGUUUCCAUGCAGUGGCAGAGAUUCCCAUGGUGCACCUUUGAAGCGGAAAGUUGACAGAAACCGAGUGAGCCACUGAGGACGGAGGGGCUGCGGGAUCGCUGGGCCGCAGGUCAGGGUCUCGUGGAAGCCGGGUGGAUGCCACGUGGCCUGUGUUUUCAAAAUUAUCCUAGAACAUUGAAACAUCAUGGACUUCUAACUUCUUUCUACAAUUAAAAAGAAAUGUUUAUACUUAAA
This is a long non-coding RNA of Cercocebus atys (sooty mangabey), 996 nucleotides long. RefSeq lists it as uncharacterized. NCBI's taxonomy places the organism in Eukaryota, Metazoa, Chordata, Mammalia, Primates, Cercopithecidae. The record is from RefSeq and is a predicted model, not a curated record. The transcript has 2 exons.